This 462-nucleotide ribosomal RNA is filed under the name uncultured bacterium. Its description in RNAcentral is "bacterial SSU rRNA". It matches the Rfam family "Bacterial small subunit ribosomal RNA", at positions 29 to 506 of the family's 1533-position model. The record is from RNAcentral.
ACGAACGCUGGCGGCGCGCUUAAAACAUGCAAGUCGAACGUGAAGCUCGGAGCUUGCUCCGGGUGGAAAGUGGCGAACGGGUGAGGAACACGUGAGGAACCUGCCCCGAAGACCGGGAUAACACCGGGAAACCGGUGCUAAUACCGGAUGCCCUCACCGGAUCGCAUGAUCCGAUGAGGAAAUGGAUUCCGCUUCGGGAUGGCCUCGCGCACUAUCAGCUUGUUGGUGGGGUAAUGGCCCACCAAGGCUACGACGGUUAGCUGGUCUGAGAGGAUGUCCAGCCACACUGGGACUGAGACACGGCCCAGACUCCUACGGGAGGCAGCAGUUAGGAAUCUUGCGCAAUGAGCGAAAGCUUGACGCAGCGACGCCGCGUGCGGGAUGACGGCCCUCGGGUUGUAAACCGCUUUCAGCAGGGACGAAAUUGACGGUACCUGCAGAAGAAGCCCCGGCCAACUACGU